AUAGGAUCGAGGAAGUUCCUCGGACUGCACCUGAAGAGGUCACCUCUUCUCGAUGUGAUUAGUCAAAUUCUUGGAGACCAGAUAGUCUAGUCAUUGAGAAUUAUAGUCAUUGAGAAUUAUAUGGAUCCACUGCAUGAGAGGUCGGAGCUAACUGAGGUUGAUAUUCGACACUUGAAGGACCGAUAUCAGGUCUUGAGUCAUUAUCAAUUCUUAACUCUGGGCUG
RNAcentral lists this long non-coding RNA (224 nucleotides) under Elaeis guineensis (African oil palm). RNAcentral's name for it is "long non-coding RNA (EGUI_LNC032551)". The record is from RNAcentral. Lineage: Eukaryota; Viridiplantae; Streptophyta; Magnoliopsida; Arecales; Arecaceae.